RNAcentral lists this microRNA precursor (85 nucleotides) under Paramuricea clavata. The record is from RNAcentral. Lineage: Eukaryota; Metazoa; Cnidaria; Anthozoa; Malacalcyonacea; Plexauridae.
UACCUCAAAAUUCCGCAACAGUCUGUUUCAUCAGUAAAGAAUCAUUGAUGAUUCUUUACUGAUGAAACAGACUGUUGCGGAAUUU